UACGAAGGGGGCUAGCGUUGCUCAGAAUCACUGGGCGUAAAGGGUGCGUAGGCGGGUCUUUAAGUCAGGGGUGAAAUCCUGGAGCUCAACUCCAGAACUGCCUUUGAUACUGAGGAUCUUGAGUCCGGGAGAGGUGAGUGGAACUGCGAGUGUAGAGGUGAAAUUCGUAGAUAUUCGCAAGAACACCAGUGGCGAAGGCGGCUCACUGGCCCGGUACUGACGCUGAGGCACGAAAGCGUGGGGAGCAAACAGG
RNAcentral lists this ribosomal RNA (253 nucleotides) under uncultured bacterium. RNAcentral's name for it is "partial 16S ribosomal RNA". It matches the Rfam family "Bacterial small subunit ribosomal RNA", at positions 524 to 776 of the family's 1533-position model. The record is from RNAcentral.